Molecule: long non-coding RNA, 413 nt
Organism: Aplysia californica (California sea hare)
Lineage: Eukaryota; Metazoa; Mollusca; Gastropoda; Aplysiida; Aplysiidae
Exons: 2
Source: RefSeq, a predicted model, not a curated record
UGAGUUGUACAACUGAUGCCAAUGUCUUUUAAAAGAUCGACUGACUCAUGAUUUUCAUUUUGACCACCCAGCUAACGCCCGGUUCCUGAACUCUCUUACGUUUGGCAUCGAGUCUCAUGUAACCUUGAACCGCUUCAAGAUCGCCGUUGGAGGUGUUGACAGAAUCGGUGCCCUCGUAUUCACUGAACCUGGUGUCGGUUCCUACCCGCUCAUCGAAAAAGAUUACUCGCCACAAGGUAACAUCAUCAAACUCUUGAGUGACCCUGUGACUUCAGUGGCUGACCCCUCAGUCUUCAACAUCCCAAAGAAUUGCCAGGACACACCCGUCGUUGGAUAGGCUUUAAGAAAUGAAUUACCUUACGUCAGAAAUUGCCUGAUUUUCAGUUGCUUUGAAUAAACGAUUUGACCAAUUA